UACGUAGGGGGCGAGCGUUGUCCGGAAUUAUUGGGCGUAAAGAGCGUGUAGGCGGUUCGGUAAGUCUGCCGUGAAAACCUGAGGCUCAACCUCGGGCGUGCGGUGGAUACUGUCGGGCUAGAGUACGGAAGAGGCAAGUGGAAUUCCUGGUGUAGCGGUGGAAUGCGCAGAUAUCAGGAGGAACACCUAUAGCGAAGGCAGCUUGCUGGGACGUUACUGACGCUAAGGCGCGAAAGCGUGGGGAGCGAACAGG
This 253-nucleotide ribosomal RNA is filed under the name uncultured bacterium. RNAcentral's name for it is "partial 16S ribosomal RNA". It matches the Rfam family "Bacterial small subunit ribosomal RNA", at positions 524 to 776 of the family's 1533-position model. The record is from RNAcentral.